UAUUUAUUUAUUUAUUCUUAGGUGGUGCUGGGGAUCAAACCCAGAGCUUCAUGCAUGUGAGGCAAGUGCUCUACCACUGAGUUACAACCUCCGCCCAUGGAAUGGUGUCUUUUAUACAUUAAAUGACAUGGAAAGAGACCCUUGACCUCAUGAAGCCAGGGGCCAACAUUUGAUUGGACCAUGACCCUCUGGCCUGUCCCCAUGAACCACCCAACUGCCAGAGGCAUCAAUCCCACUGGAUGGCCAGAACCAAGGCCUCUGUCCUCAUGGGGCUCCUCACUGUCCACAGCAACUUCACCUUGCACCAGCACUCAUCAUUUGCAGGCGAGAGCAGACUUUCAAGAGAAGUUCUGAGUGACAGUCCGAAAGAAACACUGACAAACUGUCCUGUUUCUCAUCAUAGCUCUCAUUUUGUGGUCGAUUUUGGUGAUCCUUUGGGGGGUCUACUUGGUAGUCCCUUGAAAUAUAAAAUGUAUCACAAGUGUCUGAAGUACCCUACUGGACUACUGGUUGACCUCUGGACUCACGGGCUGUGAACAGUCUGACUUUUUAUCUGUUCUAUAAAUACCACCAUCUUAGGGUCAAGAAGGCUUGUUAAGAAAUAAUUAGUAUAACCGUUUUAAAAAUAUCAAGUGAUAUUGUUUUUGCCUUCUUGUCAAUUUUGGAAUUACUUUUUCCCUCUUCUUGACCCUUACAAUCUCUGAAGAUUUGUGUGGCAAAUUUUAUUACUGUUCCCAAUUGCCUGGGUUUUCCAAGUAGGAGGAUAAUACAUCCCUAACAGGGUGGGGAUGGGCUGUCAAGUGAUGGGCUGUGGCCAACAGGAGGUGAAGGGCCACGUUGAGCCUCCCCGGCCACCUAGCAGAAGCCAGGUCCUGCCUACGUUAGACAGUGAGCUCGCAAACCGCGGGUCAGGCCGCUUCAUCUCACCUCCCUCCCUGCAGCGUGCGUCACCAGGACGUGGAAUAAGGCCAGCAGUCCCAGAGUGGUCAUCAUUUCCUUCACUCAUUUUAUAAAUUUUUCACAUUUCCGGUUCAUCUUGUUUUUUUAAACCAUGGCCACUUUUGAUAAAUUUCCAACAAUUCGUAGGGAAAAAACUCCUAAAGCAAAAAACAAAUCCCCAAAAACUAUAAUUUUUAAAUUAAAAGCUCUAAAACCAUUAAAGAGGGUCUGGAAGGAAUUUCACAAGUAAUUUAUUAUGUGACGUGAAAGAAAUAGAUUGGAGAGAAUUGCUAGUCUCCAUAGUAAAAACAGCAUCAUCUUUCAUAUUUUAAUAUUUUAUGCCUCAGAUUCAAUAAUGUCCAGGUAUUUGAAAAUAAAUGAUUUCCAAACAUUUUGUAUGUGUCUGUGUGUGUUUGUGUGUGUAUGUAAUAUAUAUACAAUAUACUAAAUA
This is a long non-coding RNA of Ictidomys tridecemlineatus (thirteen-lined ground squirrel), 1390 nucleotides long. NCBI's taxonomy places the organism in Eukaryota, Metazoa, Chordata, Mammalia, Rodentia, Sciuridae. The record is from Ensembl.